RNAcentral lists this long non-coding RNA (903 nucleotides) under Pan troglodytes (chimpanzee). RNAcentral's name for it is "long non-coding RNA NONPTRT001955". The record is from RNAcentral. Lineage: Eukaryota; Metazoa; Chordata; Mammalia; Primates; Hominidae.
GGAAAAGCUCAGCUGCUCGGGUCUUAUUUCCAGAGACAGCCAUAAGCCCUCAGACAAGAAUCACUGCUUCCACCUCCGUCUCAGGCUCCUUUUACCCAAAACCACGUGAUGGGUGAGCCAAGCUUGCUUUUCUGUGGGUUCCAAGUCUUCUCCACUCCUGACUUUCUGAGUUGAUGAGUUUCCUGCUGACCAGUGCCAAGCAUUGAGUGGUACUGAAGAUGCCCAGCAAAUCCCCCAGGGUCCAGUCAUGGUUCUCCGAGUCCUCAUUAUGUGGAAGUGGGAGAACUCGCCCCAGCCAGUAGAGCGGCCACCUUCUCCACCUCCUGCUUCAGAGCCAGGAGGGGUCCGCAUAGCAGGAAGCUGCCACAGCCUCCAAUUGAACAGAACCAAGAUGCCCUGGAGAUGGAGGCCAUCCUGCAGGAAUCCGGUCGUGAUCAUGGUAGAAGUGCUUCAGGCCGGGAAGGAACAUCUGCCUCUGGGGAGGUAAUCGAAUGAGAAGAAAUUGCUUCCUCAUUAAUGAGACAAUUCCACGUGAUCAACCCAGCAAAGGGGCCAUCGAUGAGACUGAACAUUGGCCUUUAGUGGCAGUAGCUCCACCCCCUCCCUGAGCAAUUCUCCCAAAGCCCAUGCAGACCCUGCAUCCCUGCCCUGUGGUCACUUUGAAGUUGGCCCAGUGGGUAAGAAUCAGGGUAGUGAGGGAAAGACACGGGCUGAUGGCCCAGGACCAUUGUCUUCUCCCCUGGUAUUAGAGCGUGCCUGGUGAAGGGGGUCUCCCAAGCACAUGGGAGCUGAAGAUCACCGCACUCUGCACCCAUCCCAACAAUUCCCAGAUCUCCUCAUCUCUUGCUUGAAGUAGACACUCAGUAAACCCAGCCCAUAAGCUGGUGCUCCCCUUUCACAGAC